AGUGAACGCUGGCGGUAGGCCUAACACAUGCAAGUCGAACGGCAGCACAGUAAGAUCUUGCUCUUACGGGUGGCGAGUGGCGGACGGGUGAGGAAUACAUCGGAAUCUACUUUUUCGUGGGUGAUAACGUAGGGAAACUUACGCUAAUACCGCAUACGACCUACGGGUGAAAGCAGGGGAUCUUCGGACCUUGCGCGAUUGAAUGAGCCGAUGUCGGAUUAGCUAGUUGGCGGGGUAAAGGCCCACCAAGGCGACGAUCCGUAGCUGGUCUGAGAGGAUGAUCAGCCACACUGGAACUGAGACACGGUCCAGACUCCUACGGGAGGCAGCAGUGGGGAAUAUUGGACAAUGGGCGAAAGCCUGAUCCAGCCAUACCGCGUGGGUGAAGAAGGCCUUCGGGUUGUAAAGCCCUUUUGUUGGGAAAGAACAGCAGCAGGUUAAUACCCCGCUGUUCUGACGGUACCCAAAGAAUAAGCACCGGCUAACUUCGUG
RNAcentral lists this ribosomal RNA (492 nucleotides) under uncultured bacterium. Its description in RNAcentral is "partial 16S ribosomal RNA". It matches the Rfam family "Bacterial small subunit ribosomal RNA", at positions 29 to 507 of the family's 1533-position model. The record is from RNAcentral.